This 687-nucleotide ribosomal RNA is filed under the name Staphylococcus saprophyticus. RNAcentral's name for it is "bacterial SSU rRNA". It matches the Rfam family "Bacterial small subunit ribosomal RNA", at positions 77 to 749 of the family's 1533-position model. Lineage: Bacteria; Bacillati; Bacillota; Bacilli; Caryophanales; Staphylococcaceae. The record is from RNAcentral.
AGCUUGCUCCUUUGACGUUAGCGGCGGACGGGUGAGUAACACGUGGGUAACCUACCUAUAAGACUGGGAUAACUUCGGGAAACCGGAGCUAAUACCGGAUAACAUUUGGAACCGCAUGGUUCUAAAGUGAAAGAUGGUUUUGCUAUCACUUAUAGAUGGACCCGCGCCGUAUUAGCUAGUUGGUAAGGUAACGGCUUACCAAGGCAACGAUACGUAGCCGACCUGAGAGGGUGAUCGGCCACACUGGAACUGAGACACGGUCCAGACUCCUACGGGAGGCAGCAGUAGGGAAUCUUCCGCAAUGGGCGAAAGCCUGACGGAGCAACGCCGCGUGAGUGAUGAAGGGUUUCGGCUCGUAAAACUCUGUUAUUAGGGAAGAACAAAAGUGUAAGUAACUGUGCACGUCUUGACGGUACCUAAUCAGAAAGCCACGGCUAACUACGUGCCAGCAGCCGCGGUAAUACGUAGGUGGCAAGCGUUAUCCGGAAUUAUUGGGCGUAAAGCGCGCGUAGGCGGUUUCUUAAGUCUGAUGUGAAAGCCCACGGCUCAACCGUGGAGGGUCAUUGGAAACUGGGAAACUUGAGUGCAGAAGAGGAAAGUGGAAUUCCAUGUGUAGCGGUGAAAUGCGCAGAGAUAUGGAGGAACACCAGUGGCGAAGGCGACUUUCUGGUCUGUAACUGACGCUGA